This is a non-coding RNA of Macaca mulatta (Rhesus monkey), 2521 nucleotides long. The record is from RefSeq and is a predicted model, not a curated record. NCBI's taxonomy places the organism in Eukaryota, Metazoa, Chordata, Mammalia, Primates, Cercopithecidae.
CGGGGAGAGAAUCAAGUAUUUUUAUUAUUCCUUUUUUUCCUCUCUUGUUUUAACUUAUUGGUUAUCAGCUUUAAGAGAUGGGGUCUCACUCUGUUGCCUAGCCUGGAGUGCAGUGACUAUUCACAGGUCUUUCUUGGGGUUUCAACCAAGAGUUUGGGCUUUGUUUUUCUAUCUCCUCAGUACCACGCUGCUGCAAAAUUCUUUGCCCAGCUCUUCAGCCUCCCAGCUCCUGUUUUUCUUUUGGUUCUCCUGCAGUCUCUGCCUGUGCUUGCUCAGCUUAGGAGUUUGAAAACAUCUCAAGGAGAGAUUGCAUGUAGCCUUUUUGGGUUUAUUUCUCUGCAACUCUCUCCUCCUUGAGAUUUUACUAUCAAGUCGCAGCCACUUGAGCAGCUUUGAACUCCAAUCUGUCUCUUCAGCCUAAUGGAACCGCCACUUACUUUAUUCCCUGACCUGUGAGUUGGGCCAGGGUGAGUAUCGAGAUCCCUUUGAUGUGCCUCCCUUCUCUUAGGGAUCAUCUGCCUUGGUUGCCCUCCAAUGCCUUCAAAUGUGCUAUAUACUUAGUCCAUCGGUUACAGUUGUUUUCAAUGGGAGGGUUAGCUCAAUAUAAGCUACUCUAUUAUGGCUGGAAUCAAAAAUCUUCUACUUUACGAUAAAUAAAAAAUCUAAAAGAAUUCAAAAGACUGGAAUAAGGAAAUUACAAAAACAUAAAAACUGAAUCACAGAUUACAAACUUCAGUCCUAGUCUAAAGCCCAUCCUUAAGUCUUCUGAAUUCAGCACUCUGUUUAGAACAAACGCACUGUUUUCUCAUCUUCAGUUUGGUUCUUUGGCAAGAGCUUUAACCUAGGCUAAGAAAGUCAGGGUUUGGUUUCUGGACUUUUAUAUAAAAAGUAUGUGAUUCUGGACAAACUUCUUUUUAUCACUUAGUUUUGUCACUAGUCAGGGAAGAUGGCCCUUAAAGCCUGCUUGCCUUAAGUUCUUUAAGGAAUAAGCUGGAUAUAAGUAAAUAAAUAAAUACAAUGUAAAGUCCUUGCCCUUUCUUCCUUGCAGAGUUGGUAUGAGGUCAGCUUAGCUGUAGAGGCAAAGUUCACAAGGGUGCCUUCCCCAUAGGGAUGUGGGUGCUUUUACAAAUUUUCCAGCUCUUGGACAAUUUUUUCUCAUGCUCUACUUUUCUUUUAUCCCCUAAUUAGAGCUGUGAAUUAGACAAAAACAUGAUUGCAAUUUCCUCCCCCAUCUGGAUCAGAUUGUCCUGUCUAACCUCUAAAAUAAAAGAGAACACAGGUGUUUGAGUGGGAUGCUGGGUCGGGAGAGCUGGUUGGCCAGGUGAGCCUGACCAGAGAAAACUCCCUGUGGACAGGCCAGAUAGGACCCCAAACUAUCAGAAAGGUUUUGGUCAAUGUGGAAUCUGAACAAAAAGAGCUAUUUAUGUAAUUCAAAAGUAGAACAGUAUUAAGUUCAGGCAGACAGAUGGAUGUGUUCUCAUGAUUGGAAUGACCUUUUGGACUGAAUGUUGGGGACUGAUGGGACAUGCCUUCAGAGGCACAGCCUCACUUUGUCUCUGACUCUGCUUUUUCUAGGCUUUGUGUCUGACAAUCCCCUUCUAGUUGUCAUAUCCUCCUUUAGGUGUUUUACCAACUUCAGCUUGGUUGGUAUCCUGCUUGUCUCCUCAUGGUCACCUUAUGUCUCUGCCCCGGUGCUUUAUGUGUUCAAUUUACAUUGUUUUUAGAGCACAUUGUUGCUUUCUGUUCCCAAAUUUGCAGGGAGGACCUUAUGAUAAUCCCCAUGUCCACAGUGCAUAAUGGACCAGGAGCUUUAUGUUUUAUCUCCUGAUCUUCACUCCAGUCUGGAAGGUCAUCAGCUUCAUUUCCACAAAGAUGUGGAAGCUGAGGAUGAUACAGGCUAAGGAUCUGCCCAAGGUUGGACAGCUUGAAUGUCACAGAGUUUGUGUUCAAACUGAGGGCUUACCCCAAACUCAAAGUUCUGCCUGCUGCUGCUGAGUAAGCACCAGAUUGUGAAUUACUCCGAAUUUUCAAGUCACCUGUAGAGGAAAGGGGAACUAAAAGAAAAAGUGGUUUAGUCAAACAAAAAACUUCCCAAUGUAGCAUACCUUUAUGUCUCUUUGCCUUAAUUUGUGUUUCUUUUCCUAGAAUCCCAUCUGUUUGUAUCUAUUGAAUACCUACUAUGUGCCAGAAACACAUAGUAAUACAAAAGACGUGAAGGCUAUAAUCUAGUAAGAGUGUAAUUGGUACAACCUGUGAAGAUGGUGGCCCUGUGGCUCUCAGCACCUGAUCAAUGAUCCCUUCACUCUUAACAUCACAAAACAGAGAAAUGCAAUCGUCCUGACAUGGCUCUUCCUGACAACCUGGGUACCCCACUGCCUCUAGCCACACCUUGCUUCUGAGACAAAUAGGGAACUUUAAUUUGGGCUCCCGAGUGGAAAUAACAGUCAUCAAGAACAGAAGGCUCAGGCUGGGUGUGGUGGCUCAUGCCUGUAAUCCCAGCACUUUGGGAGGCCACGGUGGG